UUACGGCCACAGCAGGUUGAAACACCGGUUCCCGUACGACCACCGGAGUUAAGUAGUGUCGAGCCUGGUCAGUACCUAGAUGGGUGACCACUUCGGAGUACCAGGUGCUAUA
Acanthosepion pharaonis is the source of this 112-nucleotide non-coding RNA. The record is from the annotation of a GenBank genome assembly. Lineage: Eukaryota; Metazoa; Mollusca; Cephalopoda; Sepiida; Sepiidae.